Molecule: long non-coding RNA, 1156 nt
Organism: Herpailurus yagouaroundi (jaguarundi)
Lineage: Eukaryota; Metazoa; Chordata; Mammalia; Carnivora; Felidae
Exons: 3
Source: RefSeq, a predicted model, not a curated record
GCGCAUGUAGGUGUGUGUGCGCAUGUGCGGGAGGGGCGAAAAUGGCAUCACCCGCUGUGUGGUCAGUAGUAUCAGAGUUCUGUUCUCUCUGACCAGCAAUCGUGCACUCAUCCUGUGUCCAGCUUCCAUCCACCCCCCGCUUCCACAAUGUCCGUGACCAAGCGGUCAGACUGCCAGGCAGCACCUCCCUCCUGAGUUUUAUCUCAGAAGCAGCUGUGUUUCCCAACCCCUCACUUCUGAGGGACUGUGGCUUUGUUCCGCUCAGACCUUCUGCGGGAGGGUCUCACCGAGCACUGGCUGGUGCCGGCCACCCCCAGGAACAUUCACGAGACUGUGCUGCUGCCAAUGCCCAGAGACUGCGGCUGGGUGCCAGCCCGCCCCAGAAAAAGUUCACACCCGCGUGUAGCAGCGGCGUUUCAGGGAUUCUGGAAAAUCACAACUCACAUCUGGCGCCAAGCUUCACCCCCCAACGGCCUUGUCCCAGCACCAGCGAAUGUGGUUGUUCUCCAGGAUCCGCUGGGACGUUUGCCCGUGGGGAGUCCUCCCAGCAGGGGAACCGCCUCCUUUGUGGCCUGAGGACCUCGGUUUCUGCUCCCGGGGAUUCGCCCCUCCCAUCAGAGCUCCACCAGCCGGCUGCGAGCACAGAGUACCAUUGGCAGCUGAGAGAACAGAGGCGCCAAACGAAGAGAGGUGGGUGAACUCACUGCUCAGGACAAAGGCAGCUUCUUCCAAACAUUCCUGGCCAACACUUCACAUCACUGGCAUCUUCACUUAUGUCCAGGGGCAGAAGCUGAAUAUUUGUGGCCCCCAGAGUCUCCUUGAGAAAAGAAAAAGCAGGACCCGUGUCACCUUAGCUGAGAGCUGGCUGUGAAGUGAGCUCCACGGAGGAAUAGCAAGAGGAGUGGAGUGUGGUGCCACAGCAACUGGGGAUGCAGAAGCCAGACCUUGAAGGUGUCUGCAUGCACAGGGAAGACAAGGAAGAUCACGGCAUUCAGAUGACACUGGUGCACAGGCACCAGAUACGACACCCCUGAUAUGUCCACACAACGCUGAGUCUAGUGCAGCUGGAACCACAACAGAAUGGCAUCUUGAGUUCCCAGUGAAAGAGGUUCAGCUCUGUCUUAUGGACACAAAAGACACAGAUUAAAGUGAUUUU